RNAcentral lists this ribosomal RNA (514 nucleotides) under uncultured bacterium. RNAcentral describes it as "bacterial SSU rRNA". It matches the Rfam family "Bacterial small subunit ribosomal RNA", at positions 28 to 437 of the family's 1533-position model. The record is from RNAcentral.
GAUGAACGCUGGCGGCGUGCCUAAUACAUGCAAGUCGAGCGGUAAGGCUUUACACAGUUUGUUUAAACGGCAAAGACAGGUCGCGAUUACGAAGUAAUCGUUUCUUAUACGAAGAAUAAACGCUUCGGUCUAAACCACUCUUUAUCUGGCUAGAUAAACGAGUUUGAACAAAGUGUGUAGAGUACACGAGCGGCGGACGGCUGAGUAAUGCAUUGGAACGUACCCCAAACUGAGGGAUAAUCCACCGAAAGGUGGACUAAUACCGCAUGUGCCAUUCGUGGUAAAGCUACGGCGGUUUGGGAGCGGCCAAUGUUCGAUUAGCUAGUUGGUGAGGUAAUAGCUCACCAAGGCUACGAUCGAUAGCGGGUCUGAGAGGAUGAUCCGCCAGACUGGAACUGAGACACGGUCCAGACUCCUACGGGAGGCAGCAGUAGGGAAUUUUCCACAAUGGGGGCAACCCUGAUGGAGCAACGCCGCGUGCAGGAUGAAGGCCCUCGGGUCGUAAACUGCUUUU